Molecule: ribosomal RNA, 512 nt
Filed under: uncultured bacterium
Lineage: Bacteria
Description: partial 16S ribosomal RNA
Source: RNAcentral
GGAGUUAGCCGGUGCUUCUUCUGCGAGUAACGUCACAGAUGUAAGGUAUUAACUUACACCCUUUCCUCCUCGCUGAAAGUGCUUUACAACCCGAAGGCCUUCUUCACACACGCGGCAUGGCUGCAUCAGGGUUUCCCCCAUUGUGCAAUAUUCCCCACUGCUGCCUCCCGUAGGAGUCUGGGCCGUGUCUCAGUCCCAGUGUGGCUGAUCAUCCUCUCAGACCAGCUAGGGAUCGUCGCCUAGGUGAGCCUUUACCUCACCUACUAGCUAAUCCCACCUGGGCUUAUCCAUCAGCGCAAGGCCCGAAGGUCCCCUGCUUUCCCCCGUAGGGCGUAUGCGGUAUUAGCAGUCGUUUCCAACUGUUAUCCCCCACAAAUGGGCAAAUUCCCAGGCAUUACUCACCCGUCCGCCGCUCGUCAUCUUCAAAAGCAAGCUUUUGAAAUGUUACCGCUCGACUUGCAUGUGUUAGGCCUGCCGCCAGCGUUCAUCUCGAACCAUGAUACAACUACUGA